RNAcentral lists this long non-coding RNA (529 nucleotides) under Gossypium barbadense (sea-island cotton). RNAcentral describes it as "long non-coding RNA (GBAR_LNC002853)". The record is from RNAcentral. Lineage: Eukaryota; Viridiplantae; Streptophyta; Magnoliopsida; Malvales; Malvaceae.
CAAGCUUUUAUACCAGUUAGAAACACAGUUAUCAACACACCUGUUUUUAACAAAAAAAUAAACAUAAACACAGGUGAAUCACACUAAAUUUGGUUAUUACAUAGGUAAAUUUAGAAAAGAAAAAAGAAACUAAAAAUUUAAAUCGACAACCAUGUUUUUACCUGCAUUUAGUUGAUAUAUUUGAACUUAUGAUACUUCGAAUUUUCAUUUUCCAUUUUGCAUUCAUGUCCAUUUGGAUUUGGAUAUAUAUGAUCCUCUAAAUAUAUAAAAAAAAACCUUAAAAAAAUCAAUAAACUCAUGUUAGCCACAAAAUAUAUCAGAUUCUUAACCAAAAAAAUCCAAACAAUAUAGAUCUCCACCUACUGAUUUAUGUAACAUGGCUUUGAAACCUGUUCUAAAAUAAUCCAUUCUUUCAUGUAAUGCGUGGUAGUUGACUCCCACCUCCCUGCCGGCUCCAAUUUAUAUUCUUGUUGAAAAUUACAUCAGUGACAGUCUCUUCAAUCGCAUCUUGCUCAACCAAUUGGGGUGU